CCUGGCUCAGGAUGAACGCUGCGGCGUGCCUAAUACAUGCAAGUCGAGCGAAUGGAUUGAGUGCUUGCUCUCAAGAAGUUAGCGGCGACGGGUGAGUAACACGUGGGUAACCUGCCCAUAAGACUGGGAUAACCCGGAAACCGGGGCUAAUACCGGAUAAUAUUUGAACUGCAUGGUUCGAAAUUGAAAGGCGGCUUCGGCUGUCACUUAUGGAUGGACCCGCGUCGCAUUAGCUAGUUGGUGAGGUAACGGCUCACCAAGGCAACGAUGCGUAGCCGACCUGAGAGGGUGAUCGGCCACACUGGGACUGAGACACGGCCCAGACUCCUACGGGAGGCAGCAGUAGGGAAUCUUCCGCAAUGGACGAAAGUCUGACGGAGCAACGCCGCGUGAGUGAUGAAGGCUUUCGGGUCGUAAAACUCUGUUGUUAGGGAAGAACAAGUGCUAGUUGAAUAAGCUGGCACCUUGACGGUACCUAACCAGAAAGCCACGGCUAACUACGUG
This 504-nucleotide ribosomal RNA is filed under the name uncultured bacterium. Its description in RNAcentral is "bacterial SSU rRNA". It matches the Rfam family "Bacterial small subunit ribosomal RNA", at positions 18 to 507 of the family's 1533-position model. The record is from RNAcentral.